Culex quinquefasciatus (southern house mosquito) is the source of this 843-nucleotide long non-coding RNA. RefSeq lists it as uncharacterized. The record is from RefSeq and is a predicted model, not a curated record. NCBI's taxonomy places the organism in Eukaryota, Metazoa, Arthropoda, Insecta, Diptera, Culicidae. The transcript has 2 exons.
GUUUCGGGCGCGGGUCUGGCUCGGCGCCAGAACUUUUGAACCCCGAGCCAACAAUUCUGCCAAAUUUGAGUAUCAUUUGUUGAGAGUGUAACGUUAGACGUUUAGAAACGUCAUGCUCAUCUUGAAGUAGAUUGUUUAUCUUUUGAACAAAUUUCUUUUGGUGGAAUGAGCCAUCAGAAUUACCGAUGGUGUUGGAGAAAAUUAUUUUUUGCGACCAUCGUCCCAAGUCGGGCAACACUCGAACGGUUUCCGGUGGAGGACAAUCCCUAAGACAAAUUUGUCUCCAUAUCUUACUCAGCUCCUGCAGCCAGUGGCCAGCAGUUGAUUUUGCCGCCGAUGUCCUACACUGAUCCGGUGGCAGAUUGUUCGAUUAGCCGGGGUUCGUGGCAACUGCAACAACAUAACUUUCGAUGCUAAUUACAGACAUGAUGAUGCCAAUCACGAUCAUUACCGCUUCUGAAAUGCAUUGCCUCCUCAUCAGAAGGUGGCGUCAACUGAUUUCCCGCAGAAUCCGGUGCUGAAGACUAUGUUCGGCGCUGCCAAUCAACACCGGUGUGAUUAUGAUCAUGGCCAACAAUUCGAAUAAAGCCUUAAUGGUCUAGAUCUGCAGCUUCGCCAGCAACUGGGUGGUCGCUUCCAGCGGAAUGUUCUGCACGGCUAGAGGAUUCCUCUUUUUAACGCCAAUGACCGUUUGCGGGGGAUGAUUCAAAUGAGCCAUUGCGUCCCACAAAUGUGGCUCAAGAAAAGGCGUUUUAUAUUCGAAUUAGAUAAGGGUUUAGUUGGUCGACUCGUGUCGUCUUUUUAUAACUGUAAAUUUCAAUAAAACAAUCCCCAACAUCCUCA